UCUGUCCAUCUUCAGAAGUCUUGAAAUGUGUUUCAGGACAACUUUUACUAAAAUUAUCAUCAAAUGAACCUUGUAUUUCAGCUUGUGUUAAUGAAAAAAGAACAGUAAUUAGUGAUAUAAUUAGAAGGAAUUUAGGUAUUGAAGAAGCCAUUCUUUCAGCUUGUGUUAAUGAAAAAAGAACAGCAAUUAGUGCUAUAAUUAGAAGGAAUUUAGGUAUUGAAGAAGCCAUUCUCUCCAUUUUUUCUCUUGAGCUUGAGAAGUGAAGCUUCUUAAGUUGAAAUAUUUGGAGAAGACUAUAAAUAUAAUGAAGGACGUAGACUCAUCACUUUUGGUCGUGUCAAGGG
This 344-nucleotide long non-coding RNA is filed under the name Nicotiana benthamiana. Its description in RNAcentral is "long non-coding RNA (NBEN_LNC004842)". Lineage: Eukaryota; Viridiplantae; Streptophyta; Magnoliopsida; Solanales; Solanaceae. The record is from RNAcentral.